Molecule: transfer RNA, 93 nt
Filed under: Serratia entomophila
Lineage: Bacteria; Pseudomonadati; Pseudomonadota; Gammaproteobacteria; Enterobacterales; Yersiniaceae
Description: tRNA-Ala(agc)
Source: RNAcentral
UUAACGCAGCAGGGGUUGACGCUGGCGCUGAGCGAGCAGUUCAGCGGCGGGUUGAUCAAUCUGCAACUGCAGAGCGAAGCCGCGCCGUUGGCC